AACGAACGCUGGCGGCAUGCCUAACACAUGCAAGUCGAACGAGACCUUCGGGUCUAGUGGCGCACGGGUGCGUAACGCGUGGGAACCUGCCCUUGGGUUCGGAAUAACUCCCCGAAAGGGGUGCUAAUACCGGAUAAUGUCUUCGGACCAAAGAUUUAUCGCCUUUGGAUGGGCCCGCGUUGGAUUAGCUAGUUGGUAGGGUAAAAGCCUACCAAGGCGACGAUCCAUAGCUGGUCUGAGAGGAUGAUCAGCUACACUGGGACUGAGACACGGCCCAGACUCCUACGGGAGGCAGCAGUGGGGAAUAUUGGACAAUGGGCGAAAGCCUGAUCCAGCAAUGCCGCGUGAGUGAUGAAGGCCUUAGGGUUGUAAAGCUCUUUUACCCGGGAUGAUAAUGACAGUACCGGGAGAAUAAGCUCCGGCUAACUCCGUG
This 433-nucleotide ribosomal RNA is filed under the name uncultured bacterium. Its description in RNAcentral is "partial 16S ribosomal RNA". It matches the Rfam family "Bacterial small subunit ribosomal RNA", at positions 29 to 507 of the family's 1533-position model. The record is from RNAcentral.